Pygocentrus nattereri (red-bellied piranha) is the source of this 1576-nucleotide long non-coding RNA. RefSeq lists it as uncharacterized. The record is from RefSeq and is a predicted model, not a curated record. Lineage: Eukaryota; Metazoa; Chordata; Actinopteri; Characiformes; Serrasalmidae. The transcript is spliced from 2 exons.
UCCAAUCGAGCAAGAAGUUUGAUCAGUGGUGGUUCCUGUUCACAACUUACUGGACUUAAAGGAUCUUAAAGGGAUUGCAAAUGUCUUGGUGUCAGAUACCACAAGAAAACAUAAUCCAUGCAACAGGGGUUUGGGAAUGUCUACAGUCCUGGUUAACACAAAUCCCAUGGAGUGCAUGUUCCUCAGCCAUGGACACCCCCAGUCUUCUCUCAGGAAUGCAUCCUCUUCAUUGAUGCGCUACAGUAGAGAGACUGAGCACUGCGUUGUCCUCCCCAGGUAUGGUGGAACUCUUUGCACUGGCUAUGAAGACAUGAAGGACUGAACUGUGUGUGCCAUCCUAGCUCCUCCAGGAGGCAGCUCAGUGCCAAUUCUUUCCUCCUCUCGAAAGCUGGACAUACCUGCCGAACCAUCACACUCAGCUCCACCAACAGCUCACCCAUCCACUCAUCAGGAAGCAGCCGCCUGGCCAAUCAAGCUUCAGGCACCCACUUGAUGUGCGUAGGAGGUCCGUUGCUUUUGGGCAGGUCCUCACUGUUGGCCAUUGUUGCUGUCCUUCCACUGGGCUCUGCUUGUGAGCCUCGUUAUGCUGCUUCUUCUUCCUUGGGCUUUGGCUGGGCUUAAUCUUCUCCGUCAGUCGCUCUAUGAAGCACCAUUCCUCUCCAGGCUUCCGAAGGAUGCUAUCCCAUUUCUGAUACCAUUGUGGUGUCUGUAUAGAGAGAGAUACAAGAAUGGACAUGAUUGUGCUGCAAGUAGUACUCUUUUAUUAAAACAUCAACACAUACAUGAGCUCAAAAUGGCAGAGGAGGUCACCACCAGCCAUAAACUCCCACAUCAUGAUUAACACACAAACCUACACAACUAAACUGAUACCCCACCAUAGAAUAACAAAGAUAACACAUGCACACACUUUAAACCAAAGAACGGCAGCAGGAAACAAUAUUCAAAGCCCUUUUUAUGGGGAACAUGCAGCUCCUAUUAGCCUCUUCACAGGGCCUUCUGCAUUGCCAUGCCUCCAGAGCCUGUACAGCAGCAUGAGCCAGAAGUGGAACAUUUUUUUUCUAUAAGGAGAAAGCUUAUGUUUUAAAUGCAUUGCAUAUUAAAUGCAUUUAAAUUGCACUUUUAGAAACAUAUCAAAGAAGUAUUGUAAUUCUUGCUACAACAUUGGAUACACAAUAAUAUUAUGACUGUAUUUAUGUUGUAUUACAGUUUUUUGGUACAAGAGAAAGUAAUAGUUACAUUACAUCACUUUUCACAGUUUGAAUACAGCAACUGCCCUUUUUCAUUUUGUGAAAAGUUUAUGAUGAAUGUACAAAUGUUCCAAAUGCGCCUUAAAAGUUAAGAAUAUUUUGCAUUUUCCUAUAAAAUUAUCAUUUUGGCAAGACGUCUUUUUUGGGAGAGGGACAAUUUGAAAACAUCUGCUCUAUGAAUUAUUUUUUGUGCUGGAUGGACCAAUAGAAAUGUCCAAAAUUUCUUUUAAAAAAGUAUUACAUUAUCAUAUAUUAAUGUUAAGACACUUUGGGGAUACAAUGCCACUAACAGAAAUAAAAUUUAUAACACAUAACAGAUAUAACAACUA